Molecule: ribosomal RNA, 376 nt
Filed under: uncultured bacterium
Lineage: Bacteria
Description: bacterial SSU rRNA
Rfam family: Bacterial small subunit ribosomal RNA
Source: RNAcentral
UAAUACGAAGGGGGCUAGCGUUGCUCGGAAUUACUGGGCGUAAAGGGCGCGUAGGCGGCACUGUUAGUCAGGCGUGAAAGUCCUGGGCUCAACCUGGGAACUGCGCUUGAUACGGCAGAGCUAGAGGAUGGAAGAGGCUCGCGGAAUUCCCAGUGUAGAGGUGAAAUUCGUAGAUAUUGGGAAGAACACCGGUGGCGAAGGCGGCGAGCUGGUCCAUUACUGACGCUGAGGCGCGACAGCGUGGGGAGCAAACAGGAUUAGAUACCCUGGUAGUCCACGCCGUAAACGAUGUGCGCUGGAUGUUGGGUGGCCUAGCCACUCAGUGUCGUAGCUAACGCGGUAAGCGCACCGCCUGGGGAGUACGGCCGCAAGGUUG